RNAcentral lists this ribosomal RNA (889 nucleotides) under Pseudomonas sp. RNAcentral's name for it is "bacterial SSU rRNA". It matches the Rfam family "Bacterial small subunit ribosomal RNA", at positions 54 to 939 of the family's 1533-position model. The record is from RNAcentral. Lineage: Bacteria; Pseudomonadati; Pseudomonadota; Gammaproteobacteria; Pseudomonadales; Pseudomonadaceae.
CNUGCAGUCGAGCGGUAGAGAGAAGCUUGCUUCUCUUGAGAGCGGCGGACGGGUGAGUAAUGCCUAGGAAUCUGCCUGGUAGUGGGGGAUAACGUUCGGAAACGGACGCUAAUACCGCAUACGUCCUACGGGAGAAAGCAGGGGACCUUCGGGCCUUGCGCUAUCAGAUGAGCCUAGGUCGGAUUAGCUAGUUGGUGAGGUAAUGGCUCACCAAGGCGACGAUCCGUAACUGGUCUGAGAGGAUGAUCAGUCACACUGGAACUGAGACACGGUCCAGACUCCUACGGGAGGCAGCAGUGGGGAAUAUUGGACAAUGGGCGAAAGCCUGAUCCAGCCAUGCCGCGUGUGUGAAGAAGGUCUUCGGAUUGUAAAGCACUUUAAGUUGGGAGGAAGGGUUGUAACCUAAUACGUUGCAAUUUUGACGUUACCGACAGAAUAAGCACCGGCUAACUCUGUGCCAGCAGCCGCGGUAAUACAGAGGGUGCAAGCGUUAAUCGGAAUUACUGGGCGUAAAGCGCGCGUAGGUGGUUCGUUAAGUUGGAUGUGAAAUCCCCGGGCUCAACCUGGGAACUGCAUUCAAAACUGUCGAGCUAGAGUAUGGUAGAGGGUGGUGGAAUUUCCUGUGUAGCGGUGAAAUGCGUAGAUAUAGGAAGGAACACCAGUGGCGAAGGCGACCACCUGGACUGAUACUGACACUGAGGUGCGAANGCGUGGGGAGCAAACAGGAUUAGAUACCCUGGUAGUCCACGCCGUAANCGAUGUCAACUAGCCGUUGGGAGCCUUGAGCUCUUAGUGGCGCAGCUAACGCAUUAAGUUGACCGCCUGGGGAGUACGGCCGCANGGUUAAAACUCAAAUNNAUUGACGGGNNCCCGCACAAGCGGUGGAGCA